Long non-coding RNA from Solanum pennellii, 1140 nucleotides. RefSeq lists it as uncharacterized. NCBI's taxonomy places the organism in Eukaryota, Viridiplantae, Streptophyta, Magnoliopsida, Solanales, Solanaceae. The record is from RefSeq and is a predicted model, not a curated record. The transcript has 2 exons.
CCUCCCAUCCAUCGCAACUCUUCACUGCCACCCCUUCGCUCUUUCAAAUAACCCUCCAUUAAAUCUUCCUCCUUCACAUGCUAUAACCAUUCCUUUCUCCAGAAACCUCUCGAUCCUUUCUUUACUUUUUCCAUCUGCGAUCUUUCUCCUCUGGUUCCUCCACCGCAACGGAACAACGGCCCCGCCAUCCAACAAUUUCCUGAGCUUACUCUAGAAUGUAAAUUUAGAGAACUUAUGGAGAGUUAUUAGUAUACUCUAGCAGUGUGGUGAACAACUUCUAUGGCGGGGCAAGAAAAAGAAGGAGGGCAGGAGGUUGUAUGAUUUCAGACUGGUUGUUAUACAAGUCUGAAAACAUGUAUUAAGCACUGAUAAGGGUGGAAGUACUUCUAGCGGUGUUGGGAUCAACUGCAAAGUGAGGACGUGAGGGUUCAAAAGAGUUUGACAAAGAGGAUGCUGAGGAAGAAGCUGUGAAGACAUUGUUUCUAUUUCACGUGUAACAACUAAAGCAGUAUUGACUAUCCUCGACGCGGACGAGGACAGGGAUGACCAGAAAUACAUACAAAAUAUUGUUUACCAAAAAAUCUUUCAGAAUGCACGUGCAAUAACAGUGGUAGGAGAGGAGGUAUUUUUUAUAUUAUUAUAACAAAGUGCGAGAAAAACUGCCAUAUCUAACUUUUGUUAAUGACUCAUGCCCCUCAGAUAACUAACCAUACAAAUAGGAAUUUGUGACGGAGAUGCAAGGUGAAUGCCUCAGCACAUUACCACAGUUCAGUAUCUAAAUGCCAUAGCCAAACCUGAAAAUUCAUUAGCAGUUGCUAAUACAAAACUGAGAGUCCAGUAGCUUACACAAUUUAUAUUGUGCCAGAAUUUGUAAUAGCAACUGAAAUGAAAGACUUGCGUGUAGGUGUAACCAAUAGAACAACAACUGGAGCAACUUCACAAUGGAAGAUGAUUUUUGUGGUUCAUUAUUUGAAUCUUGUAAGCCGAAAGAAUAAUAUUAAGUUUGCAUAUCUGAGCUCUAUUAUGUAGCUUCUUCCUAUCGGUGAAAUUUACAUGAUAUGAAUCUACCACUGACUAAAAAGAUUGAUUUCUAAUUUUGUUAUCACUUUCAAUGAGAUUAGUUAUUCUAUGUUCUAACCA